GAUGAUCGGUGCUUGCACCGAGAUUCAACAUGGAACGAGUGGCGGACGGGUGAGUAACACGUGGGUAACCUGCCCUUAAGUGGGGGAUAACAUUUGGAAACAGAUGCUAAUACCGCAUAGAUCCAAGAACCGCAUGGUUCUUGGCUGAAAGAUGGCGUAAGCUAUCGCUUUUGGAUGGACCCGCGGCGUAUUAGCUAGUUGGUGAGGUAAUGGCUCACCAAGGCGAUGAUACGUAGCCGAACUGAGAGGUUGAUCGGCCACAUUGGGACUGAGACACGGCCCAAACUCCUACGGGAGGCAGCAGUAGGGAAUCUUCCACAAUGGACGCAAGUCUGAUGGAGCAACGCCGCGUGAGUGAAGAAGGCUUUCGGGUCGUAAAACUCUGUUGUUGGAGAAGAAUGGUCGGCAGAGUAACUGUUGUCGGCGUGACGGUAUCCAACCAGAAAGCCACGGCUAACUACGUGCCAGCAGCCGCGGUAAUACGUAGGUGGCAAGCGUUAUCCGGAUUUAUUGGGCGUAAAGCGAGCGCA
RNAcentral lists this ribosomal RNA (530 nucleotides) under Lacticaseibacillus casei. Its description in RNAcentral is "bacterial SSU rRNA". It matches the Rfam family "Bacterial small subunit ribosomal RNA", at positions 68 to 573 of the family's 1533-position model. The record is from RNAcentral. Lineage: Bacteria; Bacillati; Bacillota; Bacilli; Lactobacillales; Lactobacillaceae.